CUAGCUGUAAACGAUGUGAACUAGGUGUCGGUGGGAUUAAAUCCAUCGGUGUCGAAGCUAACGCGAUAAGUUCACCGCCUGAGGACUACGGCCGCAAGGUUAAAACUCAAAGGAAUUGAC
RNAcentral lists this ribosomal RNA (120 nucleotides) under uncultured bacterium. RNAcentral's name for it is "partial 16S ribosomal RNA". It matches the Rfam family "Bacterial small subunit ribosomal RNA", at positions 796 to 914 of the family's 1533-position model. The record is from RNAcentral.